UAGGGAAUCUUCGGCAAUGGACGAAAGUCUGACCGAGCAACGCCGCGUGAGUGAAGAAGGUUUUCGGAUCGUAAAACUCUGUUGUUAGAGAAGAACAAGGACGUUAGUAACUGAACGUCCCCUGACGGUAUCUAACCAGAAAGCCACGGCUAACUACGUGCCAGCAGCCGCGGUAAUACGUAGGUGGCAAGCGUUGUCCGGAGUUAUUGGGCGUAAAGCGAGCGCAGGCGGUUUCUUAAGUCUGAUGUGAAAGCCCCCGGCUCAACCGGGGAGGGUCAUUGGAAACUGGGAGACUUGAGUGCAGAAGAGGAGAGUUGAAUUCCAUGUGUAGCGGUGAAAUGCGUAGAUAUAUGGAGGAACACCAGUGGCGAAGGCGGCUCUCUGGUCUGUAACUGACGCUGAGGCUAGAAAGCGUGGGGAGCAAACAGG
RNAcentral lists this ribosomal RNA (429 nucleotides) under Gemmatimonadota bacterium. RNAcentral describes it as "Gemmatimonadetes bacterium partial 16S ribosomal RNA". It matches the Rfam family "Bacterial small subunit ribosomal RNA", at positions 355 to 776 of the family's 1533-position model. Lineage: Bacteria; Pseudomonadati; Gemmatimonadota. The record is from RNAcentral.